UAGUAAUGAGGGUUCGAUCCUGGCUCAGAUUGAACGCUGGCGGGAUACUUUACACCUGUAGAUCGAACGGCAGCACGGACUUCGGUCUGGUGGCGAGUGGCGAACGGGUGAGUAAUGUAUCGGAACGUGCCUAGUAGCAAGGGGAUAACUACGCGGCGUAGCUAAUACCGCAUACGCCCUUCGAGAAGCGGGGACCUUCGGGCCUCGCACUAUUAAACGGCCGAUAUCAGUUAGCUGGUUGGUGGGGUAACGGCUCACCAAGGCGAUCCGUGGCGCUGGUUUGAGGAGACGACCAACCACACUGGGAUGACUGAGACACGGCCCAGACUCCUGCAGGAGGCAGCAGUGGGGAAUUUUGGACAAUGGAAACCCUCAGUCCAGCCAUCCCGCGUGUGCGAUGAAGGCCUUCGGGUUGUAAAGCACUUUUGGCAGGAAAGAAGCAACACGGAUAACUGCCCGUGCAACUGACGGUACCUGCAGAAUAAGCACCGGCUAACUACGUGCCAGCAUACGCGGUAAUACGUAAGUGCAAGCGUUAAUCGGAAUUACUGGGCGUAAAGCGUGCGCAGGCGGUUCGGAAAGAAGAUGUGAAAUCCAGAGCUUAACUUUGGAACUGCAUUUUUAACUACCGAGCUAGAAAUUGUGUCAAGAGGUGGAAUUCCGAUAACGGUGAUGCGUAGAUAUGCGGAGGAACACCAUUAAGCGAAGGCAACCUCCUGGGAUAACACUGAUAGCCUCAUGCACGAAAGCGUGAGGCAAACAGGAUUAGAUACCCUGGUAGUCCACGCCUAAACGAUGUCGCUAGCUGUUGGGGCCUUCAGGCCUUGGUAGCCUGGCCGUAAGUUGACCGCCUGGGAGUACGGUCGCAAGAUUAAAACUGCAAGGAAUUGACGGGGACCCGCACAAGCGGUGGAUGAUGUGGAUUAAUUCGACGCAACGCGAAAAAGAGCCUUACCUACCCUUGACAUGUCUGGAAUCCCGAAGAGAUUUGGGAGUGCUCGCAAAGAGAACCGGAACACAGGUGCUGCAUGGCUGUCGUCAGCUCGUGUCGUGAGAUGUUGGGUUAAGUCCCGCAACGAGCGCAACCCUUGUCAUUAGUUGCUACGAAGGGCACUCUAAUGAGACUGCCCGGUGACAAACCGGAGGAAGGUGGGGAUGACGUCAAGUCCUCAUGGCCCUUAUGGGUAGGGGCUUCACACGUCAUACAAUGGUCGGGACAGAGGGUCGCCAACCCGCGAGGGGAGCCAAUCCCAGAAACCCAGUCGUAGUCGGAUCGCAGUCUACGCUCGACUGCGUGAAGUCAAGAUCGCUAGUAAUCGCGGAUCCAGCAUGUCGCGGUGAAUACGUUCCCGGGUCUUGUACACACCGCCCGUCACACCAUGGGAGUGGGUUUUACCGUGGAUUUAGCCUAACCGUAAGGAGGGCGAUUACCACAGUAGGAUUCAUGACUGGGGUGAAGUCGUAACUAAAGGUAA
This 1475-nucleotide ribosomal RNA is filed under the name uncultured Bordetella sp. Its description in RNAcentral is "partial 16S-23S ribosomal RNA intergenic spacer". It matches the Rfam family "Bacterial small subunit ribosomal RNA". Lineage: Bacteria; Pseudomonadati; Pseudomonadota; Betaproteobacteria; Burkholderiales; Alcaligenaceae. The record is from RNAcentral.